UACAGAGGCCCCAAGCGUUAGGCGGAAUCACUGGGCUUAAAGCGUGUGCAGGCGGCCCUCCAAGUGCCUUGUGAAAGCCCACGGCUCAACCGUGGAAUGGCUUGGCAUACUGGGGGGCUUGAAUCAUCCAGGGGCGAGUGGAACUCACGGUGGAGCGGUGAAAUGCAUAGAUAUCGUGAGGAACGCCAGAGGCGAAAGCGACUCGCUGGGGAUGUAUUGACGCUCAGACACGAAAGCUAGGGUAGCGAACGGG
RNAcentral lists this unclassified non-coding RNA (253 nucleotides) under uncultured Tepidisphaerales bacterium. RNAcentral's name for it is "contains 16S-23S intergenic spacer region". It matches the Rfam family "Bacterial small subunit ribosomal RNA", at positions 524 to 776 of the family's 1533-position model. Lineage: Bacteria; Pseudomonadati; Planctomycetota; Phycisphaerae; Tepidisphaerales. The record is from RNAcentral.